Neomonachus schauinslandi (Hawaiian monk seal) is the source of this 305-nucleotide long non-coding RNA. RefSeq lists it as uncharacterized. Lineage: Eukaryota; Metazoa; Chordata; Mammalia; Carnivora; Phocidae. The transcript has 3 exons. The record is from RefSeq and is a predicted model, not a curated record.
ACAGACCCAGCUCACAAGAGUCUCGAAACACGGCGGCAUAGCACGCGACCCCGAUCCAUCUUUGUCCUCUGAGGAGAGCAGGCCUAAAGAAAAUGUUAGCAAGUAGUCCUCAUUGCUACUGGCAUUCAUGCUGUGAACUUGAAGGGACCUGCCUAAGGAGGAAUAGAUACUGUGGACAGCACAGAGGAGAGAUGGAAAGAAACUGGGUCAUUAUGACAUUGUUAAGCUGCUAGAUCAACGGUGGAGCCUGCCCAACAGCUGGACUCUUCAUUAAUGACUUCUAGUACUAUGUUGAACAAUAGUGA